This 279-nucleotide ribosomal RNA is filed under the name uncultured bacterium. Its description in RNAcentral is "partial 16S ribosomal RNA". It matches the Rfam family "Bacterial small subunit ribosomal RNA", at positions 506 to 784 of the family's 1533-position model. The record is from RNAcentral.
UGCCAGCAGCCGCGGUAAUACGGAGGGUCCGAGCGUUAUCCGGAAUCAUUGGGUUUAAAGGGUCCGUAGGCGGUUAGAUAAGUCAGUGGUGAAAGUUCUCGGCUCAACCAUCGAACUGCCCUUGAUACUGUCGGUCUUGAAUGACCAUGAAGUGGCUAGAAUAUGUGGUGUAGCGGUGAAAUGCAUAGAGAUCACAUAGAAUACCGAUUGCGAAGGCAGGCCACUAAUGGUGCAUUGACGCUGAGGGACGAAAGCGUGGGGAGCGAACGGGAUUAGAUA